Molecule: ribosomal RNA, 379 nt
Filed under: Proasellus walteri
Lineage: Eukaryota; Metazoa; Arthropoda; Malacostraca; Isopoda; Asellidae
Description: partial 16S ribosomal RNA
Rfam family: Bacterial large subunit ribosomal RNA (bases 65-379)
Source: RNAcentral
UUAGGAGCUGGAAUGAAUGAGGCGACGAAAUCUAGACUAUUUAAGUUUUAAUAUAAAUUGACAAGCGGGUCAAAAGGCUCGCAUGGACCAGGGGGACGAUAAGACCCUAUAAAACUUUACUUUCAGGCCGGUGCCUAAAAGGAAGGGAGGUGUCUGAGAGUUUUACUGGGGCGGUUAUUAUAUAAACAAUUAUAUAUAAAAUAUAUUAUAUAGAUUAGUAGAACUCUCUAGAGAAAUAGAACAAGUUACUUUAGGGAUAACAGCGUGAUCCCCCCAGAGAGUCCAGAUCGGCGGGGGGGCUUACGACCUCGAUGUUGAAUUGGGAAUCCCUGUGUAAGCAAAUAUAUAUAUAGAUAGUCUGUUCGACUAUUAAACUCCC